UACGUAGGGCGUAAGCGUUUGUCCGGAUUUAUUGGGUUUAAAGGGUGCGUAGGCGGCCCUGUAAGUCAGUGCUGAAAUACCCCGGCUUAACCGGGGGGGUGGCAUUGAUACUGCAGGGCUUGAGUACAGAUGAGGUAGGCGGAAUUAGACGGUGUAGCGGUGAAAUGCAUAGAUAUCGUCAAGAACACCGAUAGCGAAGGCAGCUUACUGGGCUGUAACUGACGCUGAUGCACGAAAGUGUGGGGAUCAAACAGG
This 255-nucleotide ribosomal RNA is filed under the name uncultured bacterium. RNAcentral's name for it is "partial 16S ribosomal RNA". It matches the Rfam family "Bacterial small subunit ribosomal RNA", at positions 524 to 776 of the family's 1533-position model. The record is from RNAcentral.